Molecule: non-coding RNA, 863 nt
Organism: Arachis ipaensis
Lineage: Eukaryota; Viridiplantae; Streptophyta; Magnoliopsida; Fabales; Fabaceae
Source: RefSeq, a predicted model, not a curated record
GUGUUUCGCUGUGCAGGGAUGGCAACCCUAAGUUCCAUAACCCCUCUUCCUUCUAGUCUCUAGCCUCCACAACGCGAAGCAGCAGUCCAGCCACCGCCGCCGUCCCAACUUCGAGCUUCGAAGGCAACGGCGCAACGUCUGUCCAGCCACCACCGUUUGAGCUUCGAAAAUCGAAUCAACUAUCGCCGGUCUCGCCUCUUGCCUCCGUCGCGCAGUCACUUCCUGCCGGUGGCAACUCUGUUCCACACCACCACGUCGGCCACUAUCUUCCCAGCCACUGUCCCCAACCACUUCCAUACCCUCGCCAGCUCUGCCCUGUUCCAGCCUUCCAGGAUCCAGCUUCUAGCUUAGCUGUCAUUGGAGCCAUUCACACACCACUUUGGCCAAGCUCUCUACUAAAAGGCAAGAAGUUCUUUCUCCAGCAGGCAACAUUGUUGAACAGACUAUUGUUCAAAUCAGAGUGGUGUUGGGCUGUUGGCAUUUGUUAGGGAGAAUAGAGCAUUGCAAGGUUACUCAUCUGCACUGAGGAUUACUCAGCAGCGGCUCUGAAAAGAGCAUGAUUGUGUCCCUCAUAGAGAGAUUCUAUCAGGUAAACUUAAAAGUUACAAUUUCUCAAUUUGAGUGAUGGCUAAGUAAAGUUGCAUUCUUGUUUAGUAUGUAGUUUAUUUGCUUGUUAAAAAAUUUGGAACUGAAGUUAUGCAUAUUAAUCAAAAGCCAUAUGAUAUGGUAUAGUAUGUUAUGUGCAGUAAUUAAUUGAAGAAAUUGUAUGUAAGACAAGUUUUGCUAGAUGGGAAUGAUGUUAAGAGUUUGAAGCUAAAAUGGUUGAGGCAGCAAAUAGGACUAGUGAGUCAAGAACUGGCUUU